Molecule: ribosomal RNA, 914 nt
Filed under: uncultured marine archaeon
Lineage: Archaea
Also listed under: 1 other name
Description: bacterial SSU rRNA
Rfam family: Archaeal small subunit ribosomal RNA
Source: RNAcentral
UUCCGGUUGAUCCUGCCGGACCUGACUGCUAUCGGAUUGAUACUAAGCCAUGCGAGUCAUUGUAGCAAUACAAGGCAUACGGCUCAGUAACGCGUAGUCAACCUAACCUAUGGACGGGAAUAACCUCGGGAAACUGAGAAUAAUGCCCGAUAGAACAUUAUGCCUGGAAUGGUUUAUGUUCCAAAUGAUUUAUCGCCGUAGGAUGGGACUGCGGCCUAUCAGUUUGUUGGUGAGGUAAUGGCCCACCAAGACUAUUACAGGUACGGGCUCUGAGAGGAGUAGCCCGGAGAUGGGUACUGAGACACGGACCCAGGCCCUAUGGGGCGCAGCAGGCGAGAAAACUUUGCAAUGUGCGAAAGCACGACAAGGUUAAUCCGAGUGGUUUCUGCUAAAGGAACCUUUUGUCAGUCCUAGAAACACUGAUGAAUAAGGGGUGGGCAAGUUCUGGUGUCAGCCGCCGCGGUAAAACCAGCACCUCAAGUGGUCAGGAUGAUUAUUGGGCCUAAAGCAUCCGUAGCCGGCUCUGUAAGUUUUCGGUUAAAUCUGUACGCUCAACGUACAGGCUGCCGGGAAUACUGCAAAGCUAGGGAGUGGGAGAGGUAGACGGUACUCGGUAGGAAGGGGUAAAAUCCUUUGAUCUAUUGAUGACCACCUGUGGCGAAGGCGGUCUACCAGAACACGUCCGACGGUGAGGGAUGAAAGCUGGGGGAGCAAACCGGAUUAGAUACCCGGGUAGUCCCAGCUGUAAACCAUGCAAACUCAGUGAUGCAUUGGCUUGUGGCCAAUGCAGUGCUGCAGGGAAGCCGUUAAGUUUGCCGCCUGGGAAGUACGUACGCAAGUAUGAAACUUAAAGGAAUUGGCGGGGGAGCACCACAAGGGGUGAAGCCUGCGGUUCAAUUGGAGUCAACGCCGGG